Molecule: ribosomal RNA, 253 nt
Filed under: uncultured bacterium
Lineage: Bacteria
Description: partial 16S ribosomal RNA
Rfam family: Bacterial small subunit ribosomal RNA
Source: RNAcentral
UACGUAGGGUGCAAGCGUUAAUCGGAAUUACUGGGCGUAAAGCGUGCGCAGGCGGCUGUGCAAGACAGGUGUGAAAUCCCCGGGCUUAACCUGGGAACUGCACUUGUGACUGCACAGCUGGAGUACGGCAGAGGGGGAUGGAAUUCCGCGUGUAGCAGUGAAAUGCGUAGAUAUGCGGAGGAACACCGAUGGCGAAGGCAGUCCCCUGGGCCUGUACUGACGCUCAUGCACGAAAGCGUGGGGAGCAAACAGG